GCAAAGGCACAGACUUCACUUCUUUUGCAGGUGAUCCCAGGAGCUCUGCCUUAACUGACCGUGUGCACAGGUAGGUCUGCCACAGCACUGUCAGCGUGUAUUCUUCUCCAGCUAGAUGGAGUCGACCCCAAAGGAAAAGUUACGAACAGGUGACCUCCACGGUCAGCUGCUCUUCUCCUCUCACGCCCCUUCCAUCUUUUCUCUUCUUGCUUUACGCUUCCCCCCAUGCAGACUCUUCUGGGGGUGAGCUUGACCGAAAAUCAGCAAAUGCAAAUACGCAUGUCGGGGUGACUCUUUGUCUUAUUUUUUUGGCAGAAGAUUUCUUUUUUUCUUUUUACUUUUUGUAAUCAAUAUAGCUUGAAUUAAUAAAUCCAUUUUGUUAGUUAGGUCAGUUCUCAAAAAAGCCGAUAGAACAACCAACAGUUGUUUUCUUUGGAUGUCCUAGUAUGUAUCUUUCCAGGGGCACUGUGAAAGCAGUAAUGCUAUCGCGUAGUCACUGGAAGACCUACUGCCGUUUGAGUUGGAACCUUUGUCUUGGAGGUCUUUCACGUUGUUUCAGGAAUUGCCGUGUUACUGAAAACAUGGUUUGAGAAAGCAAAUACUGCUCAGAUUUAUCUUACGCUCCCCAGAACUCCUCUUCUGGAUUUACUCUUCCUAAUAUUAUUUUUAUACUGACUUUAAAAAUACUGUUCCCAGGCUAGUGUUUGAAUUGGAGCUACAGCUGCCGGCCUACACCACAGCCCAGCAGUGUAGGAUCCGAGACAAGUCUGUGACCUGCACCACAGUUCACAGAAACACCGGAUCCUUAACCCACUGAGCGAGACCAAGGGUGGAACCCGUAACGUCAUGGUAACUAGUCGGAUUUGUUUCCACUGAGCCACAAUGGGAACUCUAUUUAUUUUUUUUUUAACACUGGAUUGAUGCUACUGGUACUUGAUGUUAUUUUUUGGAGUAGUGGUUGAGAUAGAGUCAUAGAGCAUUUUCUAAUUGUGGCUCUAGCACUUAUUGUCUUCUCAGCCUUUGGCAACAUACUUCUGUGAUUCUCGCUUGUCUUUUUAUUUAUUGUGGAAUUAUAGACACACUUACAAAUGUAUAUGAAAGUGUGCAGGUACCCUUUAAGGGCAAUGAUGAAGGGAGUUCCCGUCGUGGCUCAGUGGUUAAUGAAUCUGACUAGGAACCAUGAGGUUGCAGGUUGGAUCCCUGGCCUCGCUCAGUGGGUUAAGGAUCCAGUGUUGCUAUGAGCUGUAGUGUAGGUCGCAGACAAGGCUCAGAUCUGGCGUUGCUGUGACUGUGGUGUAGGCCGGCAACCUUAGCUCUGAUUCGACCCCUAGCCUGGGAACUUCCAUAUGCUGCAGGUGCAGCCCUAAAAGGAUAAAAGGCAAAAAAANAACAGUUAUCUGCAUGCUUGUCACCAGACCAAUAAGUAGCACAUGGCUGUUUCCUAGCAGGUAUGAAAAUAAUCACAGACUGUUCCUCCAUUUACAGUCAGUGGACAGUAGGGUUCUUUUCAGCUGAAGUAAACGUGCCUGUAUAUGUCUCUCGGUAGCAUGCACAAGGGUUUCUCUGGUUGUAUGUGGAGUAGGAAUUAGGAUUUCUCCAGCAUAGGAUAUGAGCAUUUCAGCUUUAGUGUGGAAACAGCCAAGCUAUUCCAAAAAAUUUGUACCAUUUUGCCUAACUCAUUAGCAGUAUGUGAGAGCAACAUUUACAUUCAGGGUAAUAACGUAUUUGGAUUUAUUUUUAAUCUUAUUUUGUGCUUUAUCUUUCAUCUGUUUUUUAAAUCUCUCUCCUUGCCCUCUUUUGGAUUAUUUUUCUUCUUCCAUUUUCUCUAUUUAAAUUAGAGGUUAAUGGUGUUAUUUCUUUUUAUUCUGUGCUUACUUUAUAAAUUUCAACUUGCGUAGUUACCAGUCUAAAAUCGAUCACUAUCCUUAUACUCCUGAAUGAUACAAGAACUUUAGAACUUGAAUUCCACUCAUUCAUUCCUCUUGCAAUUUAUAUGAUACUAUGCUUUUUUUUUUUUUUUUUUUUUUUUUUUUUUUUGUCUUUUUGCCUUUUUCUAGUGCCGCUCCGGCAGCACAUGGAGGUUCCCAGGCUAGGGGUCGAAUCGGAGCUGUACCCUCUGAUCUACGCCACAGCCACAGCAGCAGCAACACGGGAUCCAAACCGAGUCUGCGACCUACACCACAGCUCACGGCAACGCCAGAUCCUUAACCCACUGAGCAAGGGCAGGGACCGAACCCAAAACCUCAUGGUUCCUAGUCGGAUUCGUUAACCACUGCGCCACGACGGGAACUCCUGAUAUUAUGCAUUUUAAUUACUUGUAUAACUUCACCAAUUUCAUAGUCAUUUCUGUCAUCAUCAUCAUUUUUGUUAUGUUUACUCACAGGUAGACUGUUUGUUAUUCUUAACUCUUUUAUUUCAAUCCUUCCGUCUGGGGUGACUUUCCUUAUUGAGAGUCUGCUAGUGUCAAAUUCAAUUUUUGUUUUUCUGAAAACAUCCUUAAAAGUUUUUACUGGAAGUAGACCUGUUUAUGUUCAGACAACAGUUAUUUUUUUCUAAACACAUUAAAGAGCAUUCCCCAGUUGCUCCUGGGAAGUCAGCUACCAGGCCCAGUUGUCACUUCUUUAAAGGCAGUAUUUCAAGAGUUCCUGCUGCGGUGCAGCAGGUUAAGGAUCCAGCAUUGCUAUAGCUAUGCUGCUGGUCACAGCUGUGGCUCAGAUUUGAUCCCUGGCCCAGGAACUUUCAUAUGUUGUGGGUGAGGCCAAAAAGAAAAAAA
RNAcentral lists this long non-coding RNA (2773 nucleotides) under Sus scrofa (pig). Its description in RNAcentral is "lncRNA (ENSSSCG00030007539.1)". Lineage: Eukaryota; Metazoa; Chordata; Mammalia; Artiodactyla; Suidae. The record is from RNAcentral.